Molecule: ribosomal RNA, 510 nt
Filed under: uncultured bacterium
Lineage: Bacteria
Description: partial 16S ribosomal RNA
Rfam family: Bacterial small subunit ribosomal RNA
Source: RNAcentral
GACGAACGCUGGCGGCGUGCUUAACACAUGCAAGUCGAACGAAGAGCGACGGAAGCUUGCUUCUAUCAAUCUUAGUGGCGAACGGGUGAGUAACGCGUAAUCAACCUGCCCUUCAGAGGGGGAUAACAGUUGGAAACGACUGCUAAUACUGCAUACGAUCUAACCUCGGCAUCGAGGAUAGAUGAAAGGUGGCCUCUACAUGUAAGCUAUCACUGAAGGAGGGGAGUGCGUCUGAUUAGUUAGUUGGAGGGGUAACGGCCCACCAAGGCGAUGAUCAGUAGCCGGUCCGAGAGGAUGAACGGCCACAUUGGGACUGAGACACGGCCCAGACUCCUACGGGAGGCAGCAGUGGGGAAUCUUCCGCAAUGGACGAAAGUCUGACGGAGCAACGCCGCGUGAGUGAUGACGGCCUUCGGGUUGUAAAGCUCUGUUAAUCGGGACGAAAGGCCUUCUUGCGAAUAGUGAGAAGGAUUGACGGUACCGGAAUAGAAAGCCACGGCUAACUACGUG